UUUUAUGGAGAGUUUGAUCCUGGCUCAGGAUGAACGCUGGCGGCGUGCCUAAUACAUGCAAGUCGAGCGAACGGACGAGAAGCUUGCUUCUCUGAUGUUAGCGGCGGACGGGGGAGUAACACGUGGAUAACCUACCUAUAAGACUGGGAUAACUUCGGGAAACCGGAGCUAAUACCGGAUAAUAUUUUGAACCGCAUGGUUCAAAAGUGAAAGACGGUCUUGCUGUCACUUAUAGAUGGAUCCGCGCUGCAUUAGCUAGUUGGUAAGGUAACGGCUUACCAAGGCAACGAUGCAUAGCCGACCUGAGA
RNAcentral lists this ribosomal RNA (308 nucleotides) under Staphylococcus aureus. RNAcentral's name for it is "bacterial SSU rRNA". It matches the Rfam family "Bacterial small subunit ribosomal RNA", at positions 1 to 297 of the family's 1533-position model. The record is from RNAcentral. Lineage: Bacteria; Bacillati; Bacillota; Bacilli; Caryophanales; Staphylococcaceae.